Molecule: long non-coding RNA, 757 nt
Organism: Haliotis rubra (blacklip abalone)
Lineage: Eukaryota; Metazoa; Mollusca; Gastropoda; Lepetellida; Haliotidae
Exons: 2
Source: RefSeq, a predicted model, not a curated record
AAUUUGCUUGUACAUCUUGAUUAUCUUGAUACGAAUCAUUGGACAUCUCAUAUUCACACCUUACUAUUGAGAUAUGGUUUUGGUUGUAUUUGUUUACCACAGAGUUGGCAGUGUAAAUAUGUGUAUUACAGUUUCGUAUUCGGGCUAUUGACAUGUUUAAGCAGGAACGGUAUUCAACUAUUAUUGAAAGUUCCAGAUAUGUUCAUAUCGUCAAUUUAAGUCGUUGCUUGAGCCAGUGUCUUAUUUGCUCACCUAAACUACAGAAAUGUUCGCAAUGUUUUAUACGUUUUAGAUUAGGCCUCAAUGAUUUAGCAAUUAACCGUGGAAGAUAUCUUUCUACUGAAAAGACCCAAAGAUAUUGUCCAUUCUGUAAUUUUAUUGAAGAUGAAUUCCAUUUUAUGUUUAUUUGUCCUGUAUAUGAAAAUCUAAGAAGUAAUUAUCUAACACAAUUGUCUUUAUCUGAAAUCAAUGUUAAACUAUUGCCUUCCUUACUUUCCUGCAAAGAACCUCCAAAUCAACACAAAGUAGCCCUAUUUUUUCACAAUGCAUUUUUCUUGAGAAGAGAAUUGAUCAGUUAGAAAGUUGAUUAUAUAUGCCAUUGUUAAUAUGUAUCUCUUUUGUAUAUGGGCCUAUGGUCUUUCAUGCAAAUACAUAAUUGAAUUGAAUCUCUCAACAGUAGGUGCCUGGUAGACGGUAAGACAAAGUCACCGUUUCUUCAGAAAAUGCAUAAACGUCACUUCUGACGGCAUGUUUACAA